Molecule: ribosomal RNA, 374 nt
Filed under: uncultured bacterium
Lineage: Bacteria
Description: bacterial SSU rRNA
Rfam family: Bacterial small subunit ribosomal RNA
Source: RNAcentral
AUUGAACGCUGGCGGCAUGCCUUACACAUGCAAGUCGAACGGCAGCACGGGAGCAAUCCUGGUGGCGAGUGGCGAACGGGUGAGUAAUACAUCGGAACGUGCCCUGUAGUGGGGGAUAACCCGGCGAAAGCCGGACUAAUACCGCAUACGACCUACGGGUGAAAGCAGGGGAUCGCAAGACCUUGCGCUAUCGGAGCGGCCGAUGUCAGAUUAGCUAGUUGGUGGGGUAAAAGCCCACCAAGGCGACGAUCUGUAGCUGGUCUGAGAGGACGACCAGCCACACUGGGACUGAGACACGGCCCAGACUCCUACGGGAGGCAGCAGUGGGGAAUUUUGGACAAUGGGCGCAAGCCUGAUCCAGCCAUGCCGCGUGC